This 253-nucleotide ribosomal RNA is filed under the name uncultured bacterium. Its description in RNAcentral is "partial 16S ribosomal RNA". It matches the Rfam family "Bacterial small subunit ribosomal RNA", at positions 524 to 776 of the family's 1533-position model. The record is from RNAcentral.
UACGAAGGGGGCUAGCGUUGUUCGGAAUUACUGGGCGUAAAGGGCUCGUAGGCGGCCAACUAAGUCGGAUGUGGAAUCCCCAGGCUUAACCUGGGAACUGCAUCCGAUACUGGAUGGCUUGAAUUCGGGAGAGGGAUGCAGAAUUCCAGGUGUAGCGGUGAAAUGCGUAGAUAUCUGGAGGAAUACCGGUGGCGAAGGCGGCAUCCUGGACCGACAUUGACGCUGAGGAGCGAAAGCUAGGGGAGCAAACGGG